UGAAGAUGUGGCAUUGCAGACGGGG
RNAcentral lists this non-coding RNA (25 nucleotides) under Mus musculus (house mouse). Lineage: Eukaryota; Metazoa; Chordata; Mammalia; Rodentia; Muridae. The record is from RNAcentral.